RNAcentral lists this ribosomal RNA (492 nucleotides) under uncultured bacterium. Its description in RNAcentral is "partial 16S ribosomal RNA". It matches the Rfam family "Bacterial small subunit ribosomal RNA", at positions 30 to 523 of the family's 1533-position model. The record is from RNAcentral.
AUUGAACGCUGGCGGCAGGCCUAACACAUGCAAGUCGAGCGCACCUAGCUUGCUAGGUGAGCGGCGAAAGGGUGAGUAACACGUAGGAAUCUGCCCGAUAGUGGGGGACAACGUCUCGAAAGGGACGCUAAUACCGCAUACGCCCUACGGGGGAAAGCAGGGGAUCUUCGGACCUUGCGCCAUCGGAUGAGCCUGCGUCGGAUUAGCCAGUUGGUGGGGUAAAGGCCGACCAAGGCGACGAUCCGUAGCUGGUCUGAGAGGAUGAUCAGCAUCACCGGAACUGAGACACGGUCCGGACUCCUACGGGAGGCAGCAGUGGGGAAUAUUGGACAAUGGGAGCAACCCUGAUCCAGCCAUGCCGCGUGUGUGAAGAAGGCCUUCGGGUUGUAAAGCACUUUAAGCUGGGAGGAAGGUUCGCUGGCUAAUAUCCAGCGGAAUUGACGUUACCAGCAGAAUAAGCACCGGCUAACUCCGUGCCAGCCGCCGCCGUAA